GAGCACCGUGUCAAACUUCUGAAUUUUUGCCAGUCGGAUGGAGGAGAAAUGGCACCUCAGCCUGGCCUCCCUCAGCAUCUCUCUUAUACGAGCAAAGUUAAUGCCUUCUCAUGUAUCCAAGGACCAUUUUUGCAACCUUUUGGGGAAACUGUUUUUCUUGCCCUUUGCUCAUUUUUCUCCAUGAUUUUUGCGCUUUUGUUUCUCGACUUUUAAAAAGUUCCUUGUAUAUGAAAGCCAUUCACCUUUUAUCAGUGAAAUCAUAUGACCGCUGCGGGGAAUUGAACUACAUCCUCCACCACACGCCAGCUCCUCUCCCCGCUGGCUCUGUGUCUUCGUGGCUCCGUGGCUGGAGAGCUGUGCGGUUUCCUUCGCAGGGGCUGGGCACAUUUCUCGUCGAGUUGACUGCUGCGGCCCGGGGAGCAGGGCUCCAGCUGCAGCUGGUUGUACCCCCCGGCACGCCGACUCCCUCCCGCCUGUGCCCUCUGACCCGUGUGGCCAUAUCUAGGGACCCCUUGCCUCCAGCUCCUCUCUGUGUUUGUCCCAUAGAAGCCACCCUGCUCCCCAGAGAGGCUAGGACAGGAUGAGAAAGAUGGGGUGUCGUUCCCUGCUCACUGCUGCCCGGCGGGGUUGACCAGGACGCAGCUUCUCUGGGGCAGUCCUGACCCUCAGCUAGAGCCACGGCCAUCCCUCUGGGAUCUGGCCACGCUCCUGUCUCGGCUCUCAGGCCUGGGUGGUCCUGGCUCCCUGGCUGCCAGCCCCGGGGGCCUCCCUGUCCGCGGCUAGUUUCCUUUGCCUCCCUGCAGACACCCCCUUCUUCACGCUCGCCAUCACCUGCUGGGGCGGCCCUGCCCUGCUCCUGGCUGUCCAUGUCCCCUCCCCUGAGGGUCCACAUGGAGCCUCUGGCUGGGAACACCUGCCACCUUCAUCCUCCGCUGUCUUCUCUGCCUGUUUACGCCCAGGCUCACCCGCCCCGGGCAGCAGAAAGUGAGGCUGGUCAGCCUCGUCCUCGGGCCCUGGACACCGGAGAAGCCCAUUUCCACGUUCCCGGGAGAGUCGCCUUAUCCAGACUCUUCUCUGGGGGCCUCCACGGGGCUUUGCCACCCCCUCCAGGGCCAGCCUCCUCAGGCCUCCCCCUGCUCAUCAAGCCUCGGGGGUGUCCUGCUCCAGAGGGCAGGGCAGGCUCGGGGCUUGCCUCCCGCAUCCCUGCCUGGGGCCCCUCGGACCUACAGUGACACGACAAGCCCUCGGGAGGAAAGAGCUUAGGAGGGACUCAGCUCAGCCAGCAAAGGGAGGUUUCAACAAACGUCAGGACCAUGAAAGGGAUGCGAGCGGGUGGAUGGAUGAGACAGAGGGGGCUCCGGAGCCUGAAAUCUGCAAGGGGGGCCGCAGCGCAGGGAGGAGCCCACCUGCCCAGCAGAGUGCCCAGGGGCCCAGUGUCCAUGGCCACACCCAGGCCCUCCCUUACACGCCGGCUGCCACCUCACCCCCAGGUAAUAAAACACUGCCUCGGGGAGAGGUCCCACCACAAAAAUGAACUUCCUGUGGACACGGUCUUCCCCCCAAAAGCCUUUCAGGCUCCAGCUCUUGGAAAGCCAGUCCCGAAAGGGUGUCCUGCUCGUCCCCCAAAGCUAGUUGUCCGGGGGACCAUGGCUCCUCUGCUCCAGAUGACAGCAGAGGAAGCUCACGGCGGCCACUCAGGGGCUCGCUCCUAAACGGGAAGCCGUUGCCAGGAUCCCCAGGCACCUGACCAACAGCCUGCGAGGGAAACCAGACCUUGGAGGAAACAGAGGCUGUUGAAGGAGCUCGGACCCUUUCCCGGGUGCAAGGGCGGGGGUUCUUUUUCAUGCAUCUGCUAUGAGAGAGUUACUCAAGGCUGUGCUCCAGCAAAAGCAGGGAGCUCAACCAAAACAGAGGAGGCCAUGGAAGCUGAGAAUCGGGGAGCAUGGCUCUGCGAGGGGACGGGAGGCCCAGGGCAGCUGGGAGCAGGCCAGGCGGCCGCCGUCCCCAUGGCAGCCGUCAAGACAGGGCGGGGGGUGUCUCCAGAAAAGGCAGGAUGCUCAUUAACACAGAGGCAGCCAUUCCGAGGGAGGAAGUGAUGAUAUAUCGAAGCUCGCAUCUAAAGAGAAAUGUCGGAACUCCCGCUGUGGCUCAGGGGCGUGGCCAGCAUUCAGCAGGACUGGGGUUCAAUCCCAGGUCCCGCCCGGUGGGUUAAAACUCCGGCGUUGCCACAAGCUGUGGUGUAGGUCACAGCCACGGCUCGGGUCUGGCGUGGCUGUGGCUGUGGCUGCAGUGUAGGCUGGCAGCUGGUGCUCGAAUACGCCCCCUGGCCUGGAACUUCCAUAUGCCGCCGAUGCAACCCUAAAAAGCAAUACGUAAAUAAAUGAAUUUUAAGAAAAUAAAAAUAAAUAUCAUCAAAAGCUCCAGGAAAACAAAAAGGCUCUACGAGAGGGUUGGAACAACUGUUGCAUAAAGUGACCUUGAGCAGGUAGCGGCUGUGACUGGAAGGGCGGGUUUGUCGAGUGCACUUGCCCUGAGGUUCCAGAAGUCUCCUUGGAAACACGGGGGCUGUGACAAAGGGCCUGUGGGAGGGCUGUCCUCUCAGCGCAGGCCUAGGUCAGCCCUGAAUGUUGUUCACACCGUGGGAACAAUCUACACGCUCUUCUCUGACACUGACUUAUUUUAUUUCUAAUUAAUGUAUUCAUUUAACAACAGCUUUGACCGUGUAAAUAUAAACAGGCCGCUGGCAGAAGCAGAAGCGGGGUUCACAGAACGGGGCACCAAUUUGCUUUUGUUGCUGCUGUUGUUGUUUCUGCUUUUUGGGGGCCACCCCCGAGGCACAGGGGUCGAAUCGGAGCUAUGACUGCCAGCCUGCAGCAGAGCUGCAGCAACGCCAGAUCCUUAACCUGCUGAGUGAGGCCAGGAUCGAACCUGCGACCCCACGGCUCCGCGUCGGAUUCGUUUCCGCUGCGUCACGACGGCACCUCCAGGGCACCAACCUGUCAUGAUCUUGUUCAUUCUGUUGACUUGGUUCUUUGGCUUCUGUCUGUCUCGCCCCCAGAGCACGGGCUCAUCAAGAAGCUCUGGUUUUCUCCUGCCCGGACCCUCCCACGGAGCCUGCGGCCAGAGGCCCAGAGAGGUUCAAAAGCUGGCCCGAGACGCACAGCAAGGAAGCGUAAGGAGGUGUUGGAGGCGAACGAACUUCGCGCUCUCUGCUGCGCUGGGGCAGCUGGGAAUUGCACUCAGCCAGGGCCCUGGGUCCUUUGGAGGGGACCCCGGCUCCCAUGGCUCUGAGCACUGCUGCUCCUUCGGACCAGGGCCUGCUCUGCUGACCCCAGAUCCUCUGAAAGCCCCCAUCCCCGUCCCUGUCAGUGCCAGGUGGUCACAGGGACAGGCCAGUACCAGCCAUGCUGUGAUGGGGGUGGGCCAGGGCAGCAGCCAUGCACGAGAAAGCCAUGCCACGCGAGGAUUUGGUUUCUGACUGGUGAUGGCCUCCUCCCCCAAGUGGAAGGCGGGAGUUUGGCUGGGCGAGCUGGCGGUGAGCCGGACCUCGUUACAGAGGGCGGAGAAGGCACGGGAGCUGCCGGAGGAGGCCAGUGACCGCGUGACCUUGUCCCUGACCGAGUGCAGCUGCCUGGGAAGAGCUGGUCCAGGGACAGCCGGCUCUGUCAUGCUCCUGGCCCGCCCACAGGCCCCCAGGGCUCCCUUCUUCUGGGUGAAGGGGUUGUGGGCCCCCUGGGUGUUCUGUCUCGGGACCCCAGCCCUCACCCCUCCCCUGCCCCAGCCUGGACUGUGGACGGUCUCGGGUGGGGUCACAGGGGCGGCCCCGGGGUCCUGCUGCAGGUGGGCUGUGGCCCAAAGCUUGUGACCUCCUCUCUGCUGCGUGGCUGGGGGAGGGGAGGCGGGUGAGAACCCAGGGCUGAGGCUGGUGUGACAGAGAUCUCCCCCCCCACCGCCUUCAGCACCUGUGGGGGGUACACUUUCAAACGCCCCGCCCUGCCCGUAACUCCAGCAUCAGCCCAGAGGAAGAUGAAAAAGCCACUGAGCAUGUCUCAAACCCCAGGAAGCCGAGCUAGAGGGAGAUGGAGGGUCUUGGGUUCACGGGAGCAGCGGGUGAGGGGGGCAUGAAGCCCCAGACACACUGGAGGGUCUGGGCUGAGGCUGCUGUCGUGUGAGUGUCCCACCCCGCCUUGGGAAUGCAGGCCUCUGGUACCCAGGACCAAGCCAGGGUCAGGGAGCAGAGGGUUGGGGGUGCCAAGGGCCCACAGGACCAGGUCCCCGACCUCCCCCCUGUUUCCUGCUGGGAGGAGGGGCUGUGUGCCUUCUGGUCUUUGGGGUCCACCCCAGCGGCGGGUGGGGGGACUCCCAGCACCCGAUGUGGAGGGAGGGAAAGAACCCCAGCAUUUAGCAGGGUUGGCAGUGUGCAAGGAGGUGGGCGCAGGGGGACAGCACAUGGCCUUGGGGGCUGUGUCGAGGCCCCAGGCUGCCCCCUGCCCCGGACCCAAGCUUUCAGGGCAUAUCCGUAAUUGAGCCUUUUGCUUUACCAGGAGGAAGUCAGCAGGAAGCAUGUUGGCACAGCCUCGGUGGAAGCGAAAGACCACACGCUGGAAUCCCAAAGCUUCAACUAUUCAUCAGCUGCCCAGUGCGCCAGUGGCGGUUCGGAGUGGCUGUUAGCCUGGCAUUGACGCUAAACCUGGAGCAACAAGGACCGAAAUUCAGCCCAAACGACUGUUGGCACCUCCCCCUCUGAGGUCUCGUGGAAAUUGGAUGAUCAAUUUUUAAGUGGCUUUAAUGAAAUAUUAGUUCCUUCUCCUUUGAAAUCGAUUUCACCAAAGCCAAAGCUUUAGAUCAGGUGAAAUCGCUCUUGGAAUAUGCCAGAGACAGGAUCCACCAACAGGCAGGUCUUCUCCGCCACUGACUGCCGGGAAGUGUCAAAGAACUGGGAGCCAGAGAUGGUUCUAUGGUCUCGGGAGGGAGCAGGGCCCAUGCUUCCCUCACCAGUCCCUGACUCAGGGG
This 5013-nucleotide long non-coding RNA is filed under the name Sus scrofa (pig). Its description in RNAcentral is "lncRNA (ENSSSCG00025067200.1)". Lineage: Eukaryota; Metazoa; Chordata; Mammalia; Artiodactyla; Suidae. The record is from RNAcentral.